AACUACUUCGCCAUCUAUGACGUUAUUUGCAUUCAUGGAAAAUAAUGUGGGUGUUAUUACUAAUAAUGAGAUUAUUGAAACAGAAUCUGUCGGGUCAGCUACUUAUUCAUAAUAUAAAUAAAUAAAAACGCUCUUAUUUCUACUAUUUUCCAAUACCUAUUACUUACAAUUAACUAAAUUACACUAAAUUAACUAUAAUAAAUAAAUUAAGUAGUAGUUGCCUCUACGGCUAAGGCCUCCCCUAAGCCUUUCCAAUACGCUUCACCUCUGGCUCUUCUCAUCCAGUCAGGUGCAACUCUUUGAGUGAAAAUAUCACUCCAUCUUCUCUUUUGUCUCCCUAUUUGUCUAGAGUCUAGAGCCUUCCCAUGGUAUCCAUUCCGUAACUCUUUUCGUUCAUUCUUUUUUCUUUUCUUAAUAUAUUCAAGACUAAAUAACUUUUCGUCUAUUACUUCAGCUUUCCCUUCUGCAAUGCAGGCUAUUGACUACGCUGAUAAUAUAAACUCAAGAAAAGUUUUCGAUCGAUUACUUAUAUUGAUGCGUACGUACACCGAAGAAGCGAAAAUUAGAGUGAAUGAAAUGAAUUCAUACAGGGCUUUGUAUGAUAAGACUCCACAGUUUGAGAUGGGUUACGUGAUGUGUGAGAUUAUUUCUCGAUAUCGUUCUAUGGUAGAUAUUGCAAAUGGAAAUAUUCCAAAUAUCACAAGGCACCAAAUAUAUCUAUUUGGUGCUAUCAAAGAAUUAGAACUAAUACAAGCACUGCAUUUUGAAAUAUACCAUUUAGUUAAUAUGCUUCACGAAUUACCAAAUAAAUAUCAUGGAGUUCCAUUUGUUCCUGUUGGCGAGGAGGGUUACAAUAAUUCUUUGAUUCUAAACGCAGCAGAGAAGAUCCAAAAGAACAUCUUGGAAAGGGAAAAGGCAAGAAAGAAAAGCAAAAAGGAAAGGGAUAAACUAAGGAAGCAAUACCUUGCAAGUUUCGGAAGUGUUUCAAUAAACGGUAGUCAUUCAAUAAGUCAAACGAAAAAACCAUACAAUAAAUUUUGGCCAAUUGAUUAUGGUUGGGAAAUUGAUUACUAUUGGUAGACACAUAUUUAUUAAUUACAAAAAUUUUAUUUAUUUUAAAGUG
Leptidea sinapis is the source of this 1123-nucleotide long non-coding RNA. RefSeq lists it as uncharacterized. The transcript has 3 exons. The record is from RefSeq and is a predicted model, not a curated record. Lineage: Eukaryota; Metazoa; Arthropoda; Insecta; Lepidoptera; Pieridae.